AAGCGCGAUCCAGCCCACACCGCGUGAGUGAAGAAAGCCCUUCGGGUGGUAAAGCUCUUUUUUCUGGGAAGAAAUGUGGUGUUUUAAUACCCGGGAGGGAUGACGGUACCCAAAGAGAAAGCCCCGGGUAAAUUUGUGCCAGCACACGCGGUAAUAUGUAGGGGGCGAGCGUUANUCUGAAUUACUGGGGGUAAAGAGUGCGCAGGGGGUUUUUUAAGACUCAGGUGAAAACCCCCGGCUCUACCCGGGAAAUGCGCUUGUGACUGUGCAGUCUAGAGAGUGGGAGAGGGGGGUGGAAUUUUCCGUGUAGCGGUGAAAAAUGUAGAGAUAUGGAGGAAAACCCCUGGGGAAGGGGCCCCCCUGGGCCCGUACUGACACUGAGGCACGAAAGCGUGGGGAGCAAACACGAUUAGAUACCCCGGUAGUCCACGCCCUAAACGAUGUGAACUAGAUGUUGGGGGCGCUACGUUCUCAGUAACGCAGCUAACGCGUAAGUGACCGCCUG
This 505-nucleotide ribosomal RNA is filed under the name uncultured bacterium. RNAcentral's name for it is "partial 16S ribosomal RNA". It matches the Rfam family "Bacterial small subunit ribosomal RNA", at positions 379 to 875 of the family's 1533-position model. The record is from RNAcentral.